UAAGACAUCCUCCAUUAGUUUAUGUAAAAUUUACUCUUUGGCAUGAUGAGCAGUAGUACUACCACGGUACCACCAUCUGAGUAUAUUUAAGAAUUGAUUGGUAUUUUUUGUACUAUCAUUUAAUGUAGAUCAACAUGAGGCUGCUGAAGGAGUCCUUCUUCAUGAUGAUUUGAAUGAGCCAAAAAUGGGAGAGAAACUUGCUAGUCUAAGUGUUCUGGAUGGGAACAAAUCAAGGAGUGAUAUAGAGCAAGAAUCUUAUGUCCUAGCAAAGCCUCCAAGUGCAGACUUUGUACAUGUUUUGCUUAAGCAAGCAUUAAAUGCUGAUGAUCGCACCUUUCUGCUAGAUUGCUUGUUUACACAAAAUGAGAAGGUUGUUGUAACUUUUCAAAGGCCAUGUUGCAGCAGAUCUCUAACUUUGUGCAGCAUAAUAAUAAGCUCAUGUAUAUUUAAUUAAAAAUUAUAAUCAACAAAGAGUGUAAUUAGGAACUAGUUUUAUUAUUAUUAUAUGACAUUUACCUACAGAAGACCGUAGGUACAAGUAAAUUGACUUUUACCUACAGUUAGAGAUUAUAGGUAUAAAUUAAUAUCUUUUACCUA
Molecule: long non-coding RNA, 597 nt
Organism: Glycine soja
Lineage: Eukaryota; Viridiplantae; Streptophyta; Magnoliopsida; Fabales; Fabaceae
Exons: 2
Source: RefSeq, a predicted model, not a curated record